UGUGGCUGGGGGUGAAAGGCCAAUCAAACCGGGAGAUAGCUGGUUCUCCCCGAAAUCUAUUUAGGUAGAGCCUUGAGCGGACACCUUCGGGGGUAGAGCACUGUUUCGGCUAGGGGUCCAUCCCGGAUUACCAACCCGAUGCAAACUACGAAUACCGAAGAGUGAUACUCAGGAGACACACGGCGGGUGCUAACGUCCGUCGUGGAGAGGGAAACAACCCAGACCGCCAGCUAAGGUCCCAAAGUCUAUAUUAAGUGGGAAACGAAGUGGGAAGGCUUAGACAGCUAGGAUGUUGGCUUAGAAGCAGCCAUCAUUUAAAGAAAGCGUAAUAGCUCACUAGUCGAGUCGGCCUGCGCGGAAGAUGUAACGGGGCUCAAAUAUAGCACCGAAGCUGCGGCAUCAGUAGCAAUACUGUUGGGUAGGGGAGCGUUCUGUAAGCGGAUGAAGGUGGCUCGAGAGGGCUGCUGGACGUAUCAGAAGUGCGAAUGCUGACAUAAGUAACGAUAAAACGGGUGAAAAACCCGUUCGCCGGAAGACCAAGGGUUCCUGUCCAACGUUAAUCGGGGCAGGGUGAGUCGGCCCCUAAGGCGAGGCUGAAAAGCGUAGUCGAUGGGAAACGGGUUAAUAUUCCCGUACUUGGAUAAACUGCGAUGUGGGGACGGAGCAGGUUAGGUUAUCGCACUGUUGGAUAUGUGCGUUUAAGUUGGUAGGUGAGAAGUUUAGGCAAAUCCGGACUUCUUUAACACCGAGAGAUGAUGACGAGGCUCUACGGAGCUGAAGUAACCGAUACCACACUUCCAGGAAAAGCCACUAAGCUUCAGGUUUAUCUAAACCGUACUGAAAACCGACACAGGUGGUCAGGUAGAGAAUACUCAGGCGCUUGAGAGAACUCGGGUGAAGGAACUAGGCAAAAUAGCACCGUAACUUCGGGAGAAGGUGCGCCGGCGUAGAUUGUAGUCCCUUGCGGGCGAAGGUUGAACCGGUCGAAGAUACCAGCUGGCUGCAACUGUUUAUUAAAAACACAGCACUCUGCAAACACGAAAGUGGACGUAUAGGGUGUGAUGCCUGCCCGGUGCUGGAAGGUUAAUUGAUGGUGUAAUCGAAAGAGAAGCUCCUGAUCGAAGCCCCAGUAAACGGCGGCCGUAACUAUAACGGUCCUAAGGUAGCGAAAUUCCUUGUCGGGU
Molecule: ribosomal RNA, 1184 nt
Filed under: human gut metagenome
Description: bacterial LSU rRNA
Rfam family: Bacterial large subunit ribosomal RNA
Source: RNAcentral